Molecule: ribosomal RNA, 301 nt
Filed under: uncultured bacterium
Lineage: Bacteria
Description: partial 16S ribosomal RNA
Rfam family: Bacterial small subunit ribosomal RNA
Source: RNAcentral
CAGUCGCCGCGGUAAUACGAAGGGGGCUAGCGUUGUUCGGAAUCACUGGGCGUAAAGGGUGUGUAGGCGGAUUCUUAAGUCAGGGGUGAAAUCCCGAGGCUCAACCUCGGAACUGCCUUUGAUACUGGGGAUCUUGAGUCCGGAAGAGGUGAGUGGAACUGCGAGUGUAGAGGUGAAAUUCGUAGAUAUUCGCAAGAACACCGGUGGCGAAGGCGGCUCACUGGUCCGGAACUGACGCUGAGGCACGACAGCGUGGGGAGCAAACAGGAUUAGAUACCCGCGUAGUCCCUGUCUCUUAUAC